This is an RNA transcript of Olea europaea var. sylvestris, 1497 nucleotides long. RefSeq lists it as uncharacterized. The record is from RefSeq and is a predicted model, not a curated record. The transcript has 12 exons. Lineage: Eukaryota; Viridiplantae; Streptophyta; Magnoliopsida; Lamiales; Oleaceae.
AAACGCUGUCGUUUGGGGCUCUAAUACAAAUUCUGGAUUCAAUCGGCUCUUCUGCGUUAAUUCAAAAUUACAAAAAAUAUCGGCCAUGAAGUCCCAAGAAAAAGAAAUGAAAAUUCUUCUGAAUCCACAACUUCUUCUGGUUUUCACGGUAACGAUUCUGCACCGAGUCACUGCGUUGGCACAGUGCGAACUCAGUGUAAAAGACCACGACAAGCUCUACAACUACAGCUUAGCCUCGCCGCUCUCUAAAUUUCCCCAUGGAAUCCUCAGUGAAGACGGGUUUUAUAAAGUGGCAGCAAAUGGGACUGUGCUAUUGUUUCAGCUAUGCAGUACAAUGAUAUUCAACCACGAUCCUCCUAUGUGUGUUGGCUGUAAGGACUGUGGUGGUCCAUCUCACUGUGGCAUGGGUUGCAGUGCACUUGUGUCUAACAAAAUUGAUGGUUAUCCUGUAUGUACUACUCUCGGUCUUCCAUCAAGCAUGCUUAUUGAUGUCCUUGAUAAAAAGAGUCCCCACACGGGAAUCAUAAUUAAGAUGUCAAACAAUGGACCACAGCAUAAUUGUUCACUCUCUGUGACGGUUAUAUGUAAUUCAAAUGGAGUCCAAGGCCCUCAGACAUUUGACACAGUUGGAUUUUGUGAUUAUACAUGUUCAUGUCCUGUAACUAUUCUGCAUCACAAAGGCCAAACUUGCUGGGAAUGGGUGCACUACUUUCACUUUUUCAAGUUAAUAGGUUUUCUUCCCUCCCACCCCACUGACAGACUACACAGCUAAAGCAUCCAUCAGGCUGUGCCAAGAUUAUAUCAUCUCAUGGACAAGGAUUGGGCUGGUUUGGUAUUUUUAUGGUCAUCAUCUUGUGCCUCUUCGGAGUUUACUUAUUGGCUGGUACAUUAUAUCGGUACUUCGUCCUGCACAUCUAUGGUAUAGAUGCAAUUCCAAACCUGGAUUUCUGGGCUAGCUUACCCCGUCGAAUACAGAGUCUGUUUACGUCUUUGGUGCGGAGACUCAGAGGACCAUCAUAUGGUUACCGGAGCUCAUAUUCUCCGGUUAAUUUUUGACAACGUGAUUGCCAGUGGUUAUUUUGUUCAACUUCUGAUAUGCGUACGCAUUGCAAAUUCUACUUAGAUAGCUCUGUGGAUCGAUAGAUAGCUCUGUGGAUUGACUUCUUUUACAAGCAUCGGCCUCUAUUUGAUGAAGGCUAUUAGUUUUGACUGAGGCAAUAGUCCUUAUCCUUUUGCUGGACUGUCCAACACCUAAAAGGGACAUUUAGUUUGCGAGAGUCAAUUAUUCAACUGCUCAUUUUUAUUUUUGGAAUACCAAUGGCAGAGCAUUGGUCUAAUCUUUUGCUCUUGGUGUGACGUUUGAUGGUAACAUGAUAAUGGUGGAUGUUGCAAUUUUAACUGAGUGAAGACGUGAAAUUGGAAUUGAUAUUGAUUCUUGAUGAUGAUGUUUACACUUGAUGUAUUCUCUUUGUAUAAUUGUCAAGGAUUAUGGUUUAA